UUACCUAGUCAUACAAACUAGAUGUCGUCAGGACAGUUCACGGAGGGCGAACUUGAGUCGCGACACACAAAACUUGGUUCUUUUAUAUAAUUGAACCUAUAGUAUCUAUACAUUAUAGGGGGUCAAAAUGAAUUUUCCUAGCUUUCAGUGUUCUUAUUCUAAAGGAUGCCAUCUCCAAUUUAUCAAGUUGGAUAAGUUCUUCAAACUACUCUUGGGAGCCUUUCAUAGCUGGUGUACACCAGACGCCUUUUGUGUGUAUGAUUAAGUGCUGCCAAUUUAUUCGCUACUUUAUUUGCUUCAUGAAAACAAUAUUGCAGGACAAACUCUUUCUCCUCGAUUACCUGUUUGAUGGUGUCCACUGCUUGGAUCAUCCUCCAUGACGUCGUGGUCUUUCUAUUCAUACAUGAUGUUAGUAUCUGCAAAUCUGUCUCUACCUUGAUAUUAUCAAGAUCAUUUGCUUCACAUAAACCUUUAGCUUGUGCAUAUUUAUCCAUUAUAUGCACAAAUAUAAAUUAUCAUGCCAAACAUCUUUGUAAAGUUUAUAGAUCAUAUGCUUUCUGAUUAAUAAACAUUUAUUUUAGUAUUAACCACAUGCUAAAAUAACAAUUUUACUUUAAAAAUAAUAGUUAAAACUUAGGAUUAAAAAGAACAAACAUUUUUCUUCACCUUUGCAACCUUUUUUUUAGAGGAGCGAUCAUUUUAUUAACACUUUGAAUAGUUUUUAAAAAUUGCAUAAUUUAAGAUUUAAAAUAAUCUGAAUAAAAAUAUGCUGGAAAAAAAAAAGACACAUUGGUUAGUCAAGCAAAAUAAAGAAGAAGGGCUGAGAGCCGUGUGAGAAAUAGGAAAUUCAAGAGGACCAACAUGAUUACACACGUGGCAAUCUAGAAAGGCUGUUGAGGACAUGAAACGUGUAAAGUUGUUCAGCAAAAUUUUCCACAUGUCUACAACAAAAGUAAACUGUCACUUGUCUUCUAAGCAUAUUGGACAGCCAUUAAGCAGAGAUGUUGACCGGAUAACUCCCUAGCUAUUUUCUGUGCGGUCUUAGUCACAAUUCGUCCCUGUGAUGUGCUAAGUCAGCCUUUUCCCGAAAUAUUACCACAACAAAGCUAUGAGAAGCUAAGAAGAGAGCUUGCAAGAAUACUUUGUAUUAAACAAGAGAGAGCUUUAUACAAGUAUUGGAUUGCUUGAAUGUUUCUUGGAUGUAAAUGCCAAAUGCCUCUAGCCUAUUUAUAGUUGCUAGAGUCCCAAAUCAACGGCUAAGAUCUAUUCUAAUCAAUGGAUAAGAUCAAAGCUCUAGAGAAUUCUACAAAUCUCUACAAAUCUCUACACUUAGUAGAAUAUACAAGAGAAGUCUAGGUGGGUCU
This 1364-nucleotide long non-coding RNA is filed under the name Nicotiana benthamiana. RNAcentral describes it as "long non-coding RNA (NBEN_LNC013027)". The record is from RNAcentral. Lineage: Eukaryota; Viridiplantae; Streptophyta; Magnoliopsida; Solanales; Solanaceae.